This 2342-nucleotide ribosomal RNA is filed under the name Salmonella enterica subsp. enterica serovar Bovismorbificans. Its description in RNAcentral is "partial 23S ribosomal RNA". It matches the Rfam family "Bacterial large subunit ribosomal RNA", at positions 579 to 2900 of the family's 2925-position model. The record is from RNAcentral. Lineage: Bacteria; Pseudomonadati; Pseudomonadota; Gammaproteobacteria; Enterobacterales; Enterobacteriaceae.
GCUUAGUGGUGGGGUGACUGCGUACCUUUUGUAUAAUGGGUCAGCGACUUAUAUUCUGUAGCAAGGUUAACCGAAUAGGGGAGCCGGAGGGAAACCGAGUCUUAAUUGGGCGUUAAGUUGCAGGGUAUAGACCCGAAACCCGGUGAUCUAGCCAUGGGCAGGUUGAAGGUUGGGUAACACUAACUGGAGGACCGAACCGACUAAUGUUGAAAAAUUAGCGGAUGACCUGUGGCUGGGGGUGAAAGGCCAAUCAAACCGGGAGAUAGCUGGUUCUCCCCGAAAGCUAUUUAGGUAGCGCCUCGUGAAUUCAUCUCCGGGGGUAGAGCACUGUUUCGGCUAGGGGGCCAUCCCGGCUUACCAACCCGAUGCAAACUGCGAAUACCGGAGAAUGUUAUCACGGGAGACACACGGCGGGUGCUAACGUCCGUCGUGAAGAGGGAAACAACCCAGACCGCCAGCUAAGGUCCCAAAGUCAUGGUUAAGUGGGAAACGAUGUGGGAAGGCCCAGACAGCCAGGAUGUUGGCUUAGAAGCAGCCAUCAUUUAAAGAAAGCGUAAUAGCUCACUGGUCGAGUCGGCCUGCGCGGAAGAUGUAACGGGGCUAAACCAUGCACCGAAGCUGCGGCAGCGACGUUUAUGCGUUGUUGGGUAGGGGAGCGUUCUGUAAGCCUGCGAAGGUGGCCUGUGAGGGUUGCUGGAGGUAUCAGAAGUGCGAAUGCUGACAUAAGUAACGAUAAAGCGGGUGAAAAGCCCGCUCGCCGGAAGACCAAGGGUUCCUGUCCAACGUUAAUCGGGGCAGGGUGAGUCGACCCCUAAGGCGAGGCCGAAAGGCGUAGUCGAUGGGAAACGGGUUAAUAUUCCCGUACUUGGUGUUACUGCGAAGGGGGGACGGAGAAGGCUAUGUUGGCCGGGCGACGGUUGUCCCGGUUUAAGCGUGUAGGUGUGUGUUCCAGGUAAAUCCGGUUCACUUUAACACUGAGGCGUGAUGACGAGGCACUACGGUGCUGAAGCAACAAAUGCCCUGCUUCCAGGAAAAGCCUCUAAGCAUCAGGUAACACGAAAUCGUACCCCAAACCGACACAGGUGGUCAGGUAGAGAAUACCAAGGCGCUUGAGAGAACUCGGGUGAAGGAACUAGGCAAAAUGGUGCCGUAACUUCGGGAGAAGGCACGCUGACACGUAGGUGAAGUGAUUUACUCAUGGAGCUGAAGUCAGUCGAAGAUACCAGCUGGCUGCAACUGUUUAUUAAAAACACAGCACUGUGCAAACACGAAAGUGGACGUAUACGGUGUGACGCCUGCCCGGUGCCGGAAGGUUAAUUGAUGGGGUCAGCGCAAGCGAAGCUCCUGAUCGAAGCCCCGGUAAACGGCGGCCGUAACUAUAACGGUCCUAAGGUAGCGAAAUUCCUUGUCGGGUAAGUUCCGACCUGCACGAAUGGCGUAAUGAUGGCCAGGCUGUCUCCACCCGAGACUCAGUGAAAUUGAACUCGCUGUGAAGAUGCAGUGUACCCGCGGCAAGACGGAAAGACCCCGUGAACCUUUACUAUAGCUUGACACUGAACAUUGAGCCUUGAUGUGUAGGAUAGGUGGGAGGCUUUGAAGUGUGGACGCCAGUCUGCAUGGAGCCGACCUUGAAAUACCACCCUUUAAUGUUUGAUGUUCUAACGUGGACCCGUUACCCGGGUUGCGGACAGUGUCUGGUGGGUAGUUUGACUGGGGCGGUCUCCUCCUAAAGAGUAACGGAGGAGCACGAAGGUUGGCUAAUCCUGGUCGGACAUCAGGAGGUUAGUGCAAUGGCAUAAGCCAGCUUGACUGCGAGCGUGACGGCGCGAGCAGGUGCGAAAGCAGGUCAUAGUGAUCCGGUGGUUCUGAAUGGAAGGGCCAUCGCUCAACGGAUAAAAGGUACUCCGGGGAUAACAGGCUGAUACCGCCCAAGAGUUCAUAUCGACGGCGGUGUUUGGCACCUCGAUGUCGGCUCAUCACAUCCUGGGGCUGAAGUAGGUCCCAAGGGUAUGGCUGUUCGCCAUUUAAAGUGGUACGCGAGCUGGGUUUAGAACGUCGUGAGACAGUUCGGUCCCUAUCUGCCGUGGGCGCUGGAGAACUGAGGGGGGCUGCUCCUAGUACGAGAGGACCGGAGUGGACGCAUCACUGGUGUUCGGGUUGUCAUGCCAAUGGCACUGCCCGGUAGCUAAAUGCGGAAGAGAUAAGUGCUGAAAGCAUCUAAGCACGAAACUUGCCCCGAGAUGAGUUCUCCCUGAGACUUAGAGUCUCCUGAAGGAACGUUGAAGACGACGACGUUGAUAGGCCGGGUGUGUAAGCGCAGCGAUGCGUUGAGCUAACCGGUA